UACGAAGGGGGCUAGCGUUGCUCGGAAUCACUGGGCGUAAAGGGUGCGUAGGCGGGUUUUUAAGUCAGGGGUGAAAUCCUGGAGCUCAACUCCAGAACUGCCUUUGAUACUGAAGAUCUUGAGUUCGGGAGAGGCGAGUGGAACUGCGAGUGUAGAGGUGAAAUUCGUAGAUAUUCGCAAGAACACCAGUGGCGAAGGCGGCUCACUGGCCCGAUACUGACGCUGAGGCACGAAAGCGUGGGGAGCAAACGGG
RNAcentral lists this ribosomal RNA (253 nucleotides) under uncultured bacterium. Its description in RNAcentral is "partial 16S ribosomal RNA". It matches the Rfam family "Bacterial small subunit ribosomal RNA", at positions 524 to 776 of the family's 1533-position model. The record is from RNAcentral.